This 253-nucleotide ribosomal RNA is filed under the name uncultured bacterium. RNAcentral's name for it is "partial 16S ribosomal RNA". It matches the Rfam family "Bacterial small subunit ribosomal RNA", at positions 524 to 776 of the family's 1533-position model. The record is from RNAcentral.
UACGUAGGGUGCAAGCGUUAAUCGGAAUUACUGGGCGUAAAGCGUGCGCAGGCGGUUAUGUAAGACAGUUGUGAAAUCCCCGGGCUCAACCUGGGAACUGCAUCUGUGACUGCAUAGCUAGAGUACGGUAGAGGGGGAUGGGAUUCCGCGUGUAGCAGUGAAAUGCGUAGAUAUGCGGAGGAACACCGAUGGCGAAGGCAAUCCCCUGGACCUGUACUGACGCUCAUGCACGAAAGCGUGGGGAUCAAACAGG